This is a long non-coding RNA of Gorilla gorilla gorilla (western lowland gorilla), 946 nucleotides long. RefSeq lists it as uncharacterized. The transcript is spliced from 5 exons. The record is from RefSeq and is a predicted model, not a curated record. Lineage: Eukaryota; Metazoa; Chordata; Mammalia; Primates; Hominidae.
CGCACUCGCCUCACCUGAGCCUGGGAGGAAAAUUCUUCCAAGGAUGAUCUCCCACUCAGAGCUGAGGAAGCUUUUCUACUCAGCAGAUGCUGUGUGUUUUGAUGUUGACAGCACGGUCAUCAGUGAAGAAGGAAUCGGGAGCUGGUAAGUCGCCUACAGGAGCGAAAUGUUCAGGUUUUCCUAAUAUCUAGUGGCUUUAGGAGUAUUGUAGAGCAUGUUGCUUCAAAGCUCAAUAUCCCAGCAACCAAUGUAUUUGCCAGUAGGCUGAAAUUCUACUUUAAUGGCAUUUGUCUUGGUUAUAAGAGGGCAGGGACCACAUCUUACUCUCCAGAAGCCCCGACAUUGUCCAGCUGAAUGGGUCCCCAGCAGUGGUGCAUGUACUGAUGCAGGAGAGUGCAGUGAGGGAUAGGAGGAAGCCAGGAGGCGAAGACGGGAGGAGGAUGCUUUCAUUGGAUUUGGAGGAAAUGUGAUCAGGCAACAAGUCAAGGAUAACACCAAAUGGUAUAUCACUGAUUUUGUAGAGCUGCUGGGAGAACCGGAAGAAUGACAUCCAUUGUCAUACGGCUCCAAACAACUUCAGAUGAAUUUUUACAAGUUACACAGAUUGAUACCGUUUGCUUACAAUUGCCUAUUACAACUUGAUAUAGAAAGUUGGUACAGAUGAUCUGCACUGUCAAGUAAACUACAGUUAGGACUCCUCAAAGAUUGGUUUGUUUGUUUGUUUUUAACUGUAGUUCCAGUAUUAUAUGAUGACUAUUGAUUUCCUGGAGAGUUUUGUAAUCUGAAUUCUUUAUGUAUAUUCCUAGCUAUAUUUCAUACAGAGUGUUUUAAGAGUGGAGAGUCAAUUAAACACCUUUACUCUUAGGAAUAUAGAUUCGGCAGCCUUCAGUGAAUAUUGGUUUUUUUCCCUUUGGUAUGUCAAUAAAAGUUUAUCCAUGUGUCAGAA